GUGCCCUAGACUAGCAGUUCAAUAAUGAUGCUGCCCUCUUCACAUUAGGUUUCCUUCUGUCCUGAGGUCUGGUACAGGGCAGAUGAAGAGGGAAGUGAAACAAGGAGCUGGGCUUAAGAAUCCCAAUGAAAGGAUGGGGAACUGUCUCCGAAGAAGAUUCAGCCAGCCAAAGGACAACCAAGAGGAACACAGGAAGCCGAGAACUGGAAACCUAGAACAGAAAAAGUACAGACAAGUAAUAAAGAGAAGAAAGAAAGAGUUCC
This 263-nucleotide long non-coding RNA is filed under the name Vombatus ursinus (common wombat). RNAcentral describes it as "lncRNA (ENSVURG00010014061.1)". Lineage: Eukaryota; Metazoa; Chordata; Mammalia; Diprotodontia; Vombatidae. The record is from RNAcentral.